Molecule: long non-coding RNA, 302 nt
Filed under: Brassica napus (rape)
Lineage: Eukaryota; Viridiplantae; Streptophyta; Magnoliopsida; Brassicales; Brassicaceae
Description: long non-coding RNA (BNAP_LNC007684)
Source: RNAcentral
GUGGGGGGGACACUGUUACCUUGGCCCCAUUAUCAUCUCAUGCAUUAUCAACAAAGUAAGCUCUCUGCCUCUCUCUAUCCCUCUCCGCGAUCGCUGCGUUCAUAUAAAUAAGUCUUACGUAGUUACGUGUGUCAAUCAGCAAUUAUAUCUCCUUUGACUAUCAUCCUAUAGAGCAUAUUGAACAUUCUUCAAAAGAAUAUUUGACAUGGUAUCUAUUCAAAUACAAGAUCCUUGUUAAAUCGUAUCUUUCUUAACAAGUUAAUAAUAUAUCUGGUUCGAAAAAAAAAAAAAAUAUAUAUAUA